CAAUUGUUUUAUAGGCUCCAGGUGGAUGCCUAGGCGAUAAGAGGCGAUGAAGGACGUGGCAUAGCUGCGAUAAGCUUCGGGGAGCGGUAAGCGCGCUUUGAUCCGGAGAUCUCCGAAUGGGGAAACCCGACCAGUGUAACAACUGGCCAUUGCAUACUGAAUACAUAGGUAUGCAAAGUGAACCUGCUGAAUUGAAACAUCUUAGUACGCAGAGGAAAAGAAAACGAAGUGAUUCCGUCAGUAGUGGCGAACGAAAGCGGAACAGCCCAAACCGAAGGGAUUUAUCCUUUCGGGGUUGUAGGACCCUGUCAUGGAAUUUGUGACGAUAGUAAAACGCUCUGGAAAGUGCGGCCAUAGAAGGUGAUAGCCCUGUAGACGAAAUCCGAUCGAAUCCUAAGGAGUUCCUGAGUAACACGGCACACGUGAAACGUCGUGUGAAUCUACGCAGACCACUGCGUAAGGCUAAAUACUACUUAUCGACCGAUAGCUUACUAGUACCGCGAGGGAAAGGUGAAAAGUACCCCUGUUAGGGGAGUUAAAAGUACCUGAAACCUGUUGCCUACAAGCUGUCAGAGCCUCCUCGUGAGGUGAUGGCGUACCUUUUGCAUAAUGGGCCCGGGAGUUAUUGUGUGCGGCCAGCUUAAGUGUCUUAGGCACGGAGGCGAAGCGAAAGCAAGUCUGAAAUGGGCGUCAGUCGCAUGCAACAGACCCGAAACGGAUGUGAUCUAUCCAUGAGCAGGUUGAAACGCGGGUAACACCGCGUGGAGGACCGAACCAGUCACCCUUGAGAAGGUGUUGGAUGACUUGUGGAUAGGAGCGAAAGACUAAUCAAACACCGUAAUAGCUGGUUCUUUCCGAAAUAUAUUUAGGUAUAGCGUCGUGUAUAAACUUUGGGGGUAGAGCACUGAAAAGGCUAGGGGACACACCAGUCUACCAACCCUUAUCAAACUCCGAAUACCAAAGUGGUAAGCACGGCAGUCAGACGGCGGGGGAUAAGCUCCGUCGUCAAAAGGGAAACAGCCCUUGACCAUCAGUUAAGGUCCCAAAUCGAACACUAAGUGGAAAAGGAUGUGGACUUACAAAGACAGUGGGGAUGUUGGCUUAGAAGCAGCCAUCAUUUAAACAAAGCGUAAUAGCUGACCCAUCGAGUGAGUCCGCGCCGAAAAUGAUCGGGACUCAAGUGUUCAACCGAAACUAUGGACUCGAAAGAGUGGUAGGAAAGCGUUCCAACAGCAUCGAAGCAGAAGCGGUAAGCGACUGUGGAGCGGUUGGAAGUGAUAAUCCGGGCAUGAGUAACGAUAAAUACGAUUAAAAUUCGUAUCGCCGUAAGGAUAAGGUUUCCUGGGGAAGGCUCGUCCUCCCAGGGUUAGUCGGGAGCUAAGGCGAGGCCGGAAGGCGUAGUCGAUGCACACAAGGUUAAUAUUCCUUGACCGGCUUGUGACUAUCCUCGUAGUGCGGAGAUGUCUAGUGGUAUACGGCUUUGAUCUGCCAGAGCCUUGGACUACGGUCCUUGGCGCAACCAUGAACCAGCUUCCAAGAAAAGCUACGAGAUUACUACACAGGUUGCCCGUACCGUAAACCGACACAGGUAUCCGGGAUGAAUAUUCUAAGGCGCGUGGGUUAACUCUCUCUAAGGAACUCGACAAAUUGGCCCCGUAUCUUCGGUAGAAGGGGUGCCCUCUUUGUAGGGUCUCAGUAAAGUGGUAGAACCGACUGUUUAGCAAAAACACAGCUCUCUGCAAAGUCGUAAGACGACGUAUAGGGAGUGACAUGUGACCAAUGCGGAAAGGUGAACGACCCUUGUUAACGCUUGGGUUUUAAGCCCCCGUGAAUGUCGGCCGUAACUAUAACGGUCCUAAGGUAGCGAAAUUCCUUGUCGGGCAAGUUCCGACCUGCACGAAUCAUGUAACGAGUUCUACAUUGUCUCGGAGAGACGCCCAGUGAAAUUGUAGUCGCGGUAAAGAUGCCGCGUUCCCGCAGCAGGACGGAAAGACCCUAUGCACCUUCACUGUAAGCUGGUAUUGGCAACUGAUUUACGUUGCGUAGGAUAGGUGGGAGGCUUUGAAGUUGGCCCUCAGGGACCGAUGGAGCCAUUGGUGAAAUACCACUCUAUGUUGAUUAGUUGUCUAACCCUCUGCCAUUAGCUGGCGGGGGAACAGUGCUAGCAGGUCAGUUUGACUGGGGCGGUCUCCUCCCAAAUUGUAACGGAGGAUUGCGAUGGUUCCCUCAGCCUGGUCGGUAAUCAGGCUUUAGAGCAUAUAGGUAUAAGGGAGCUUUACUGUGAGACUCACAAGUCGAGCAGUUACGAAAGUAGGCCUAAGUGAUCCGGUACUUGAAAGUGGAAUCGGUAUCGCUUAAAGGAUAAAAGGUACGCUAGGGAUAACAGGCUGAUCACGUCCAAGCGUUCAUAGCGACGACGUGGUUUGGCACCUCGAUGUCGGCUCAUCACAUCCUGGGGCUGGAGAAGGUCCCAAGGGUUCGGCUGUUCGCCGAUUAAAGUGGUACGCGAGCUGGGUUCAAAACGUCGUGAGACAGUUUGGUCCUCUAUCCGCUGUGGGCGUUGGAGAUUUGAGGGGUUCAUUUUCUAGUACGAGAGGACCGAAAAUGACGUGCCUCUGGUGUUCCGGUUAUUGCAUCAGCAGUAGCGCCGGGUAGCUAUGCACGGAAUGGAUAAGCGCUGAAAGCAUCUAAGCGCCAAGCCACUCCCAAGAUAAGAUCUCCCUUAAGGGUCGUGGAAGACCACCACGUUGAUAGGCCGGAUGUGUAAGCGCAGUAAUGCGUUGAGCUUACCGGUACUAAUUACCCUUCAGAAUUGUUUU
RNAcentral lists this ribosomal RNA (2819 nucleotides) under Puniceicoccales bacterium Verruco_01. Its description in RNAcentral is "bacterial LSU rRNA". It matches the Rfam family "Bacterial large subunit ribosomal RNA". Lineage: Bacteria; Pseudomonadati; Verrucomicrobiota; Opitutia; Puniceicoccales. The record is from RNAcentral.